CACACAGGAACGGAGCAACAUAUUCAUACAAGAAGACUUUUUCAGAUGGGCCAAGAGCAGGAGCACAUAGAAUUGUUGCGAAACACAAGCCGGCUUUACACGGUAGUGGAGUAGUUGCCACGCACGUUAUGUUACAAAGCAUACAUACAUGCCACCUGACGAUGAGGCCGUCGCACCGCCGAGCGCUUCAACUUUGCAAUUUACAGGAGCACUCCUCACCUGCUGGUAGACUUCACAAUCGCCAGAUACAGAUCUGAUGGACGACACCAAGGAAAACUGCAGUUUCAUCACACCAGAAAGCAAAGCAAGGGCCUGCCAAAAGUCAAACGGUAAUC
This 335-nucleotide ribosomal RNA is filed under the name Triticum aestivum (bread wheat). RNAcentral describes it as "partial small subunit ribosomal RNA". Lineage: Eukaryota; Viridiplantae; Streptophyta; Magnoliopsida; Poales; Poaceae. The record is from RNAcentral.